AGAGUUUGAUCCUGGCUUAGAACGAACGCUGGCGGCAGGCUUAACACAUGCAAGUUGAACGGGAUUUGCUAAGUGCUUGCACGGAGCAAUGAGAGUAGCGCACUGGUGAGUAACACGUGGGAACAUGCCUUUUGGUGGGGGACAACAGAGGGAAACUUCUGCUAAUACCGCAUAAGCCCUAAGGGGGAAAGAUUAAUUGCCGAAAGAUUGGCCCGCGGAAGAUUAGGUAGUUGGUGGGGUAAAGGCCUACCAAGCCGACGAUCUAUAGCUGGUCUGAGAGGACGAACAGCCACAUUGGAACUGAGACACGGUCCAGACUCCUACGGGAGGCAGCAGUGAGGAAUAUUGGGCAAUGGAGGAAACUCUGAACCCCAGCCAUGCCGCGUGAGUGAAGAAGGUUUUCGAAUUGUAAAGCUCUUUCGGAUACGAGGAUGAUGACGGUAGUAUCUAAAGAAGCCCCGGCAAACUUCGUGCCAGCCGCCGC
RNAcentral lists this ribosomal RNA (484 nucleotides) under uncultured bacterium. RNAcentral describes it as "bacterial SSU rRNA". It matches the Rfam family "Bacterial small subunit ribosomal RNA", at positions 8 to 518 of the family's 1533-position model. The record is from RNAcentral.